UGUAACCCAAAAUAACCUCGCAAGAUGAAGGUGUGAUAAAAGAAAAGUGUGUAGAGACUAAAAUAGCUCUGCAACAAUAAUCAAUCCAAAAGGCAAGUAUCCUCCAAAAUCUUUCCUGCAUAAAAUGAAAAGAAGAAGAAGAAAAAUUGAAAAUCAUGAUAGCAUAGGGUCUCCAAUCUAUGGCUAUGUCUUUUCCAAUAUAAGGUCCUAUUCUUUAGAUCAUUCUGGCAAAACCCGAUAACUUUUCCGGCAUAACCUGAUGACUUUUCUGGCAUAGCCUGAUGGCUCUUCCGUCAUAAUCCGUUGACUCUUCUGUCAUAUCCCAAUGACUCCUCCAACAUAACUGAUGACUCUUCCAGCAUAACUCGGUGAUUCUUCCGGCGUUACCCGAUGACUCUUCCGGCAUAACCCGAUGACCCUUCCGGCAUAAAUUUAUGACUUUUCCGACAUAACCUGAUGACUUUUCCAACAUAGGAUCCCACUCCCUAGUUGAUGCCAACAUAACCUGGUAAUCUUUUCCAGCAUAGGGUCCCACUCCCUAGUUGAUGCCAGCAUAACCUGGUAAUCUUUUCCCAACAUAGGGUCAAACUCCUUAGUUGAUGCCAGCAUAACCUGGUAAUCUUUGCAACAUAGGUCAUCCAGUCGCAUGUUGAUUUGAAUUUAGAUAUAGGGCCCCAACGGCCUAAUCUUCUUUUCCCAAGAAUACCCAAUCCUGAUUUUAUUACUUUCAAUAAAGAAGUAGUUUAGAUUUUUGUUAUAACAACUCACGAAAUUUUCCUAGUGAAAUUAAAAGAAUCUUAAUUUUGGGAAUUUGUAGAAGUAAUUUAUGCGAGGCAAAAAUCACGUGCUCACAUACAACAGUCAAAUAAGGCAAGAACAACCAAUUAAGGUCAUAAACAUGGGAAAAUAAAGAAUCAUGCACACAAAAUUUUGACUGAAGAAAUCACUCAACAAUUCUGGAAACAACAUAUCAAUUUUCAUAAACUAAAUAGGUUGAAUAAAAGUUUUAGGAACGCAAAGAGUUUAGAUGGAAAAUAAUUCAAAACCCUAAUUUGAAAACACUUAAAGAAGGAAAAUAGCCAUGGAAAACUUGAAAGCACAUUAAAAUACAGAUGAUUGAAAAAAACAGAAAUCAUAAAAAUCAAAACCUGAAGUAGUGUAGUGUUUACAAAUUGGUCAGUAAUGCAGUAGUAAAAGAACCUAGCAGAAUAGGCAUGUAAGUUUGAAAAUACUUCAGAUACCUAGAGGUUCGACCAACAAACAACAGAAAAAUUAUACCUAAUAUAAUAAAAUUUUAAAAAAACGAUUAAUCAAUAGAGAAAUAAAAGAGCCUUAAUGAAAAAGUAAUGAUGAACUCGAAUCACUCCAGAUCUACACGGAUCUGGACAGAUUCAGGUCCAAAUGCUAAGUUUCAAAGAAAAAGAGAGGGUAAAGAGAAUCUGAUCCUUGAAUCAAAGAUUUGAGCCGUGAAACUUUGAUAGAAAGCACUCACAAACCAUAUACAAGCUCUUUGAAGAUUUUUUAAUGAGAUCUAGACCAGAUCUCUUCGAGGUCCUUCAAUGAAACCACACAAUCGAGCAACCGGGUAAAAUAGGAGACAAGUAGAGGCCUCGUACAGCCACGGGAAGCCAUAGAUCGAGUAGGAAUCAAGGGGAUUAAGGCUGACUUUAGAUGGCGGCGGAUAGGGUUAGGUUUAGAUUCAGUGGGAAUUAGAGAGGAGAGGGUUUGAGAGUGGUUGUUUGAUGAGAAUGGUAAGGUUUGGGAGGGGGG
RNAcentral lists this long non-coding RNA (1770 nucleotides) under Nicotiana benthamiana. RNAcentral describes it as "long non-coding RNA (NBEN_LNC042438)". Lineage: Eukaryota; Viridiplantae; Streptophyta; Magnoliopsida; Solanales; Solanaceae. The record is from RNAcentral.